CUAAAGAUUCAUCGCUGAUAGAUAGGCAUGCGUUCCAUUAGGCAGUUGGCGGGGUAACGGCCCACCAAACCGACGAUGGAUAGGGGUUCUGAGAGGAAGGUCCCCCACAUUGGUACUGAGACACGGACCAAACUCCUACGGGAGGCAGCAGUGAGGAAUAUUGGUCAAUGGGCGUAAGCCUGAACCAGCCAAGUCGCGUGAGGGAUGAAGGUUCUAUGGAUCGUAAACCUCUUUUAUAAGGGAAUAAAGUGUGGGACGUGUCCUGUUUUGUAUGUACCUUAUGAAUAAGGAUCGGCUAACUCCGUGCCAGCAGCCGCGGUAAUACGGAGGAUCCGAGCGUUAUCCGGAUUUAUUGGGUUUAAAGGGUGCGUAGGCGGCCUUUUAAGUCAGCGGUGAAAGUCUGUGGCUCAACCAUAGAAUUGCCGUUGAAACUGGGAGGCUUGAGUAUGUUUGAGGCAGGCGGAAUGCGUGGUGUAGCGGUGAAAUGCUUAGAUAUCACGCAGAACCCCGAUUGCGAAGGCAGCCUGCCAAGCCAUGACUGACGCUGAUGCACGAAAGCGUGGGGAUCAAACAGGAUUAGAUACCCUGGUAGUCCACGCAGUAAACGAUGAUCACUAGCUGUUUGCGAUACACUGUAAGCGGC
RNAcentral lists this ribosomal RNA (643 nucleotides) under uncultured bacterium. RNAcentral describes it as "bacterial SSU rRNA". It matches the Rfam family "Bacterial small subunit ribosomal RNA", at positions 201 to 847 of the family's 1533-position model. The record is from RNAcentral.